AUUGAACGCUGGCGGAAUGCUUUACACAUGCAAGUCGAACGGUAGAGGGGGCAACCCCUCGAGAGUGGCGAACGGGUGAGUAAUAUAUCGGAACGUGCCCAGUCGUGGGGGAUAACGUAGCGAAAGUUACGCUAAUACCGCAUACGAUCUAAGGAUAAAAGCGGGGGAUCGCAAGACCUCGCGCGAUUGGAGCGGCCGAUAUCAGAUUAGGUAGUUGGUGGGGUAAAGGCUCACCAAGCCAACGAUCUGUAGCUGGUCUGAGAGGACGACCAGCCACACUGGAACUGAGACACGGUCCAGACUCCUACGGGAGGCAGCAGUGGGGAAUUUUGGACAAUGGGCGAAAGCCUGAUCCAGCCAUUCCGCGUGCAGGAUGAAGGCCCUCGGGUUGUAAACUGCUUUUGUACAGAACGAAAAGGUUUCUACUAAUACUAGGAGCUCAUGACGGUACUGUAAGAAUAAGCACCGGCUAACUACGUGCCAGCAGCCGCUGUAA
Molecule: ribosomal RNA, 496 nt
Filed under: uncultured bacterium
Lineage: Bacteria
Description: partial 16S ribosomal RNA
Rfam family: Bacterial small subunit ribosomal RNA
Source: RNAcentral